UGUGUGUGUGUGUGUGUGUGUGUGCGUGUGCGUGUGCGUGUGCGUGUGCGUGUGUGUAUUUAUUUGCAGUGUCACAGGUGAUUAAUUUGAGGACCCGUCUUCCCUUUUUGGUUAUGCUGCUGCAUGUGUACUCAUCUUCUGAUGGCUAUUGAGACAGCGGUGGCGCAACAGUUAACUCUCUGGACUACUGAUUUGAAGAUUCUGAUGGUACUAUCUGCCUGGUGGAGCUCCUUCACACCACAGCAGACCUUGUAACUGAUGAAGAGGAUGAAACUGUGUCUGCUGCCUCUACAGAGGGGGAUCCAGAAAGGCAUAUAGAGAGCAUGGCUGGACAGCAGCAGGAUGCUUCCUCAACUUCCACUGCACAGAUUGACACAGUGAGAUGGAUGUUCAGUAAACACCAGAGGUUCAGUCCAUGGAAUUCAUGUGCAACUGUUUAAUUUAAUGUCCUUUAUGUAUUCCCAGUUAUCAGUAAAACGGAUUUGUAAAAUGCGCUUGCUGAAAAAAAUCCAGAAAAUGGAUAAAGAAAUGCAAUACUUGGACCACCAGAUUAGGAAGGCAGAUCUGGAAAUUGAAAUGCUGGAGCACAAGUUAGAGGUGGAUGCAGGUCACAGGUGAAUUAUGUUAACUACUGGAACAUUAACUAAACUAGCUCUUUUAUUUGUAGGAAAUAAAGAGGACCAA
This is a long non-coding RNA of Amphiprion ocellaris (clown anemonefish), 684 nucleotides long. RefSeq lists it as uncharacterized. Lineage: Eukaryota; Metazoa; Chordata; Actinopteri; Pomacentridae. The transcript has 5 exons. The record is from RefSeq and is a predicted model, not a curated record.